AACCAGCUGAGGCAAUUCCCUGCUUUUGCGUGGAACGCAUCUGCUCCAGAGACGAGUACCUGGCCAAAAAGGCAAGGAAAGGCUCCUCUCCUUGCGGAUGAUCAGAAAGACCAGCAUCACAGACAUAUCUUGUGCCACCACAGAAGUCACCAGAGAUGCUUUUGGUAAAGUCUGAUAUCCACCAACUCACAGCUCUGCUGGAAUGCAGGCAGACAGCCUGAGCUCCUGAGAAGAGAAUUAGUGAGGAUGAUGAUGGCUGUUGGCCCACUGAGAACUGUACCUGCCCAGUGCCUGAUCUCACCUCCUGAGAGAAUAAAGAACUGUCAGCAACA
Long non-coding RNA from Numida meleagris (helmeted guineafowl), 332 nucleotides. RefSeq lists it as uncharacterized. The record is from RefSeq and is a predicted model, not a curated record. The transcript is spliced from 2 exons. Lineage: Eukaryota; Metazoa; Chordata; Aves; Galliformes; Numididae.